This 72-nucleotide non-coding RNA is filed under the name Marinilactibacillus sp. 15R. RNAcentral's name for it is "Fluoride riboswitch aptamer (crcB RNA motif)". It matches the Rfam family "Fluoride riboswitch aptamer (crcB RNA motif)". RNAcentral also lists the same sequence under 1 other name. The record is from Rfam by way of RNAcentral. Lineage: Bacteria; Bacillati; Bacillota; Bacilli; Lactobacillales; Carnobacteriaceae.
GUCUCAUAUGGGAAUGAAUGUCUCCCAAGGCGUAGCCUAAACUGCUGAAAAGCUGAUGACUUCUGUGAUGAA